GGGGCCAUGGGGCAGCUUGGUCUAACCUAUCUGGUUUGGGACCAGAUGACCCCGGUUCAAAUCCGGGUGGCCCCA
Molecule: transfer RNA, 75 nt
Filed under: Candidatus Woesearchaeota archaeon
Lineage: Archaea; Nanobdellati; Candidatus Woesearchaeota
Description: tRNA-Pro
Rfam family: tRNA
About the family: Transfer RNA (tRNA) molecules are approximately 80 nucleotides in length. Their secondary structure includes four short double-helical elements and three loops (D, anti-codon, and T loops). Further hydrogen bonds mediate the characteristic L-shaped molecular structure. tRNAs have two regions of fundamental functional importance: the anti-codon, which is responsible for specific mRNA codon recognition, and the 3' end, to which the tRNAs corresponding amino acid is attached (by aminoacyl-tRNA synthetases). tRNAs cope with the degeneracy of the genetic code in two manners: having more than one tRNA (with a specific anti-codon) for a particular amino acid; and 'wobble' base-pairing, i.e. permitting non-standard base-pairing at the 3rd anti-codon position.
Source: RNAcentral